GGAUCAUUAAAGAGACGUUGCCCUUCGGGGUAUACCUCCCACCCUUUGUUUAUUAUACCUUUGUUGCUUUGGCGGGCCCGUCCUCGGACCACCGGCUUCGGCUGGUCAGCGCCCGCCAGAGGACCUAAAACUCUGUUUGUUCAUAUUGUCUGAGUACUAUAUAAUAGUUAAAACUUUCAACAACGGAUCUCUUGGUUCUGGCAUCGAUGAAGAACGCAGCGAAAUGCGAUAAGUAAUGUGAAUUGCAGAAUUCAGUGAAUCAUCGAAUCUUUGAACGCACAUUGCGCCCCCUGGUAUUCCGGGGGGCAUGCCUGUUCGAGCGUCAUUACAACCCUCAAGCUCUGCUUGGUAUUGGGCUCUGCCGGUCCCGGCAGGCCUUAAAAUCAGUGGCGGUGCCAUUCGGCUUCAAGCGUAGUAAUUCUUCUCGCUUUGGAGGCCCGGGUGCGUGCUUGCCAGCAACCCCCAAUUUUUUCAGGUUGACCUCGGAUCAGGUAGGGAUACCCGCUGA
RNAcentral lists this ribosomal RNA (508 nucleotides) under Pseudeurotium sp. BEA-2010. Its description in RNAcentral is "eukaryotic LSU rRNA". The stretch from base 172 to 325 matches the Rfam family "5.8S ribosomal RNA". The record is from RNAcentral. Lineage: Eukaryota; Fungi; Ascomycota; Leotiomycetes; Thelebolales; Pseudeurotiaceae.